Molecule: ribosomal RNA, 460 nt
Filed under: uncultured Methylomirabilota bacterium
Lineage: Bacteria; Methylomirabilota (SeqCode)
Description: bacterial SSU rRNA
Rfam family: Bacterial small subunit ribosomal RNA
Source: RNAcentral
GGGCUUGACAUCCCACGAACCUGCCCGAAAAGGUUGGGUGCCCGCAAGGGAGCGUGGAGACAGGUGGUGCAUGGCUGUCGUCAGCUCGUGUCGUGAGAUGUUGGGUUAAGUCCCGCAACGAGCGCAACCCUCACCCCUAGUUGCCACCGGGUUAAGCCGAGCACUCAAGGGGAACUGCCAGCGUCAAGCUGGAGGAAGGCGGGGAUAACGUCAAGUCAUCAUGCCCCUUACGCCCUGGGCUACACACGUGCUACAAUGGCCAGUACAAAGGGACGCGAGACUGCGAAGUGGAGCUAAUCCCAAAAAGCUGGUCUAAGUUCAGAUUGCAGUCUGCAACUCGACUGCAUGAAGGAGGAAUCGCUAGUAAUCGCGCAUCAGCCCGGCGCGGUGAAUACGUUCCCGGGCCUUGUACACACCGCCCGUCACACCACGAAAGCUGUCUGUACUCGAAGUCGCUGAG